CCGGAGCUUGCUCCGGGUCCCUUAGUGGCGAACGGGUGAGUAACGCGUGGGAAUCUACCUAAAAAUGGGGAAUAACUGUUGGAAACGACAGCUAAUACCGCAUAAUCCCUUCGGGGCAAAGGCUUCGGCCGUUUUUAGAUGAGCCCGCGUUAGAUUAGGCUGUUGGUGAGGUAAUGGCUCACCAAACCUACAAUCUAUAGCUGGUCUGAGAGGAUGAUCAGCCACACUGGGACUGAGACACGGCCCAGACUCCUACGGGAGGCAGCAGUGGGGAAUAUUGGACAAUGGGGGAAACCCUGAUCCAGCAAUGCCGCGUGAGUGAUGAAGGCCUUAGGGUUGUAAAGCUCUUUCAGAAGUGAAGAUGAUGACGGUAACUUCAGAAGAAGCUCCGGCUAACUCCGUGCCAGCAGCCGCGGUAAUACGGAGGGAGCUAGCGUUGUUCGGAAUUACUGGGCGUAAAGGGCGUGUAGGCUGUAUGGUUAGUCAGAGGUGAAAUCCCUAAGCUCAACUUAGGAACUGCCUUUGAUACUAUCAUACUAGAGAUCGAGAGAAGUUAGCGGAAUUCCAAGUGUAGAGGUGAAAUUCGUAGAUAUUUGGAAGAACACCUGUGGCGAAAGCGGCUAACUGGCUCGUUUCUGACGCUGAGACG
RNAcentral lists this ribosomal RNA (649 nucleotides) under uncultured marine bacterium. RNAcentral's name for it is "bacterial SSU rRNA". It matches the Rfam family "Bacterial small subunit ribosomal RNA", at positions 73 to 753 of the family's 1533-position model. The record is from RNAcentral.